This 46-nucleotide non-coding RNA is filed under the name Schistosoma mansoni. The record is from RNAcentral. Lineage: Eukaryota; Metazoa; Platyhelminthes; Trematoda; Strigeidida; Schistosomatidae.
ACACUGCUGAGGAGCGCCACAAUAGGGCGAAACGGUCGUCCAGUGC